GAUGAAGAACGUAGUGAAAUGCGAUAAGUAAUGUGAAUUGCAGAAUUCAGUGAAUCAUCGAAUCUUUGAAUGCACAUUGCGCCCCUUGGUAUUCCGAGGGGCAUGCCUGUUCGAGCGUCAUUAUAACCCCUCAAGCUCAGCUUGGUGUUGGGGCCUGCUGCACUGGCAGCCCUUAAAAUCAGUGGCGGCGCCAUCUGGCUCUAAGCGUAGUAAUUCUUCUCGCUAUGGAGUCCUGGUGGAUGCUUGCCAUCAACCCCCAAUUUUUCUAUGGUUGACCUCGGAUCAGGUAGGGAUACCCGCUGAACUUAAGCAUAUCAAUAAGCGGAGGA
RNAcentral lists this unclassified non-coding RNA (329 nucleotides) under soil metagenome. Its description in RNAcentral is "partial contains 5.8S ribosomal RNA, internal transcribed spacer 2, and large subunit ribosomal RNA". The stretch from base 1 to 120 matches the Rfam family "5.8S ribosomal RNA", at positions 35 to 154 of the family's 154-position model. The record is from RNAcentral.